AGAGUUUGAUCCUGGCUCAGGAUGAACGCUGGCGGCACGCUUAACACAUGCAAGUCGAGCGGAGGGAGAGGUGCUUGCACCUUGAACUUAGCGGCGGACGGGUGAGGAACGCGUGGGUAACCUGCCCUAUACAGGGGGAUAACACAGAGAAAUCUGUGCUAAAACCGCAUAAGCCUACAGUACCGCAUGGUACAGCAGGAAAAAUUCAGGUGGUAUAGGAUGGGCCCGCGUCUGAUUAGCUAGUUGGAGAGGUAACGGCUCACCAAGGCGACGAUCAGUAGCCGGUCUGAGAGGAUGGACGGCCACAUUGGGACUGAGACACGGCCCAAACUCCUACGGGAGGCAGUAGUGGGGAAUAUUGCACAAUGGGGGAAACCCUGAUGCAGCGAUGCCGCGUGAAGGAAGAAGAUUUUCGGAUUGUAAACUUCUAUCAGCAAGGAAGAAAACGGACAGUACUUGACUAAGAAGCCCCGGCUAACUACGUGCCAGCAGCCGCGGUAAUACGUAGGGGGCAAGCGUUAUCCGGAAUUACUGGGUGUAAAGGGUGCGUAGGCGGUAUGGCAAGUUUGAUGUGAAACCCACAGGCUUAACCUGUGGCUUGCAUCGAAAACUACUGAACUAGAGUGCAGGAGAGGAAAGCGGAAUUCCUAGUGUAGCGGUGAAAUGCGUAGAUAUUAGGAAGAACACCAGUGGCGAAGGCGGCUUUCUGGACUGCAACUGACGCUGAGGCACGAAAGCGUGGGGAGCAAACAGGAUUAGAUACCCUGGUAGUCCACGCUGUAAACGAUGAAUACUAGGUGUUGGGGCCAUUAGGCCUCGGUGCCGCAGUUAACGCAAUAAGUAUUCCACCUGGGGAGUACGACCGCAAGGUUGAAACUCAAAGGAAUUGACGGGGGCCCGCACGAGCGGUGGAGCAUGUGGAUUAAUUCGACGCAACGCGAAGAACCUUACCAGGUCUUGACAUCCCUCUGAAUACUGUAGAGAUACGGUAGGCCUUCGGGACAGAGGAGACAGGUGGUGCAUGGUUGUCGUCAGCUCGUGUCGUGAGAUGUUGGGUUAAGUCCCGCAACGAGCGCAACCCUUAUUGACAGUAGCCAGCAGGUAAGGCUGGGCACUCUGUUAAGACUGCCGGGGAUAACUCGGAGGAAGGUGGGGAUGACGUCAAAUCAUCAUGCCCCUUAUGACCUGGGCUUCACACGUGCUACAAUGGCUGUCACAAAGAGAAGCGAAGCUGCGAAGUGGAGCAAAGCUCAAAAAGGCAGUCCCAGUUCGGAUUGCAGGCUGCAACCCGCCUGCAUGAAGCUGGAAUCGCUAGUAAUCGCGAAUCAGCAUGUCGCGGUGAAUACGUUCCCGGGCCUUGUACACACCGCCCGUCACACCAUGGGAGUUUAGAGCACCCGAAGUCAGUGAGGCAACCGCAAGGAGCCAGCUGCCGAAGGUGAGCUAAGUAACUGGGGUGAAGUCGUAACAAGGUA
This 1475-nucleotide ribosomal RNA is filed under the name metagenome. RNAcentral describes it as "bacterial SSU rRNA". It matches the Rfam family "Bacterial small subunit ribosomal RNA". The record is from RNAcentral.